This 464-nucleotide ribosomal RNA is filed under the name Vreelandella stevensii. RNAcentral's name for it is "partial 16S ribosomal RNA". It matches the Rfam family "Bacterial small subunit ribosomal RNA", at positions 338 to 794 of the family's 1533-position model. The record is from RNAcentral. Lineage: Bacteria; Pseudomonadati; Pseudomonadota; Gammaproteobacteria; Oceanospirillales; Halomonadaceae.
CCUACGGGUGGCAGCAGUGGGGAAUAUUGGACAAUGGGGGGAACCCUGAUCCAGCCAUGCCGCGUGUGUGAAGAAGGCCCUCGGGUUGUAAAGCACUUUCAGUGAGGAAGAACGCCUGGUGGUUAAUACCCAUCAGGAAAGACAUCACUCACAGAAGAAGCACCGGCUAACUCCGUGCCAGCAGCCGCGGUAAUACGGAGGGUGCGAGCGUUAAUCGGAAUUACUGGGCGUAAAGCGCGCGUAGGUGGCUUGAUAAGCCGGUUGUGAAAGCCCCGGGCUCAACCUGGGAACGGCAUCCGGAACUGUCAAGCUAGAGUGCAGGAGAGGAAGGUAGAAUUCCCGGUGUAGCGGUGAAAUGCGUAGAGAUCGGGAGGAAUACCAGUGGCGAAGGCGGCCUUCUGGACUGACACUGACACUGAGGUGCGAAAGCGUGGGUAGCAAACAGGAUUAGAUACCCUAGUAGU